This 390-nucleotide ribosomal RNA is filed under the name uncultured bacterium. RNAcentral's name for it is "bacterial SSU rRNA". It matches the Rfam family "Bacterial small subunit ribosomal RNA", at positions 28 to 404 of the family's 1533-position model. The record is from RNAcentral.
GAUGAACGCUGGCGGCGUGCUUAACACAUGCAAGUCGAGCGAAGCGCUUUGGUUAGAUUCUUCGGAUGAAGACCUUUGUGACUGAGCGGCGGACGGGUGAGUAACGCGUGGGUAACCUGCCUCAUACAGGGGGAUAACAGUUAGAAAUGACUGCUAAUACCGCAUAAGACCACAGUACCGCACGGUACAGGGGUAAAAACUCCGGUGUAUGAGAUGGACCCGCGUCUGAUUAGCUGGUUGGUGGGGUAACGGCCUACCAAGGCGACGAUCAGUAGCCGGCCUGAGAGGGCACCGGCCACAUUGGGACUGAGACACGGGCCCAAAUCCUACGGGAGCAGCAGUGGGGAAUAUUGCACAAUGGGCAAAGCCUGAUGCAGCGACGCCGCGCGA